RNAcentral lists this long non-coding RNA (652 nucleotides) under Homo sapiens (human). RNAcentral describes it as "HSALNT0263903". The record is from RNAcentral. Lineage: Eukaryota; Metazoa; Chordata; Mammalia; Primates; Hominidae.
GGAACACGGGGCAGAGAGCAUGAAAGCACAUGUAUUAUAGGAAAAGCCAAAGAAGAAAAAAAAAUACAACAAAAUAGUAAGAGCUUCCCUCUGUAGAAGGAUUAUGAGUGUUUACCUUUUUCUUCUUUGUGCUUUUUUCACAUUUCACAUUUCCUAAUCUUCUACAAUGAACAUGUAAACAAGAAAAUUGAGAGAGAGAGAGAGAGAGAGAUCAAAGGGAUUCGGCAACUGAAAUGGAGACAACUCCAGGGAAGCAACACAACUACUGUCACUUAAAAGCGAAUCUUUGCUGCUGCCUCAGGUACCACAAAGGAAUGCAGAGAUGACCAUGGUGUAGUUUCUACCCACAAGAGUGAAUGAUCUGGUCUAUAGAGGAAGUGGUCCACAAAUAACUGGCAAGACCACAGCAUGAAGUGCACCCUAGUGAAGUACGCACUGUAAUGAAGUACGUGUCGAAUCAGCCGUAAGGGAAGCUAACUGGAGGCAAGGGAAAUCUGCAGAGAGCAAGGGGAUUCAGGCUGGAUCCUAAGACUAUAUAGCAUUUCUCCAGGCCUAGGAGGGAAAGGCACUCCUGGGAAAGGGAAGAGGUGUGAAAAGUUGAAAAGAAGUGCAAAGGUCAUUGUGUAUUUGGUGAGCAGGCUGCAGACUGGCA